AAAUAGAGGAUAUGCAAACCAACCAGCCUAGAACAAAGAACCAUUUAUCAAGUAAAAUAACUUUCCAGCAGGGAUGGUGGCAGCCAGCCAUCAGAUUCUUUUGGCCUUUAUCAUCAGUCAUCAGAAGCAGAGUAACAACCUGACUUACCAACAGAACUCAUAAAACAACUGAUUAAACCAGAGUGCACUUCCAGGUACCCAGGACAUGCUGCACUACAACAGGCUUUCUACCUUCCUCUUUAUUUUGUGUAUGUGUGACGCCGGGUAUUGAACCCAGGGCCUUGGGCAUGAUGGGCCAGCUCUCCACUAUGGACUUACACCUCAUCCCUGAACCAACCUAGAUGCCCUUCCAUAGACGAAUGGAUAAAGAAACUGUGGUACACGCACACAAUGGAAUGUUACUCAGCAUUAAAAAAGAAUAAAAUCAUGGCAUUUGCAGAGUCAGCUAGAGCAUGGAACCCCUGCAUGUGGCAUCUGGCUUCUCCAGUGGCUGGCCAGAGGAGCUGGACAUAAUUCUGUAUGGCUGUGAACACUGAUGGAUUAGAGACAAAAAGUGCACAAGAUCUAGCAGGAAAUUUCCUCUUAGUCAUCCAAUGGAUGGAUCUGAGGCCUGGUGGCUUCCUGCAGUUUGUAUGGAGUCAUUUGGAGGAUUAAACAACUGUUUGAGGAGGCUGGGGAAUAACUCAAUUGCUGGAGUGCUUGCCUCACAUGCACAAGGUCUUGGGUUCAAUCCCCAGCACCACAUCCCCCCCCCCACACACAAAAAAAACAAAAACCUUGCUUGUGCUUAUGCCCUUAUAGGUUUGUUCAUCUCCUUCCACACCUAAUCUCCCCUUCCCCCCUCACAUUUCCUGCCCUUCGAACUGCACCUCCCAUUAAAACAAUAAUUGAUACAGAG
Molecule: long non-coding RNA, 898 nt
Organism: Marmota monax (woodchuck)
Lineage: Eukaryota; Metazoa; Chordata; Mammalia; Rodentia; Sciuridae
Exons: 3
Source: RefSeq, a predicted model, not a curated record